RNAcentral lists this ribosomal RNA (468 nucleotides) under uncultured bacterium. Its description in RNAcentral is "partial 16S ribosomal RNA". It matches the Rfam family "Bacterial small subunit ribosomal RNA", at positions 28 to 507 of the family's 1533-position model. The record is from RNAcentral.
GACGAACGCUGACGGCGUGCUUAACACAUGCAAGUCGAACGGAAAGGCCCUGCUUUUGUGGGGUGCUCGAGUGGCGAACGGGUGGGUAACACGUGAGUAACCUGCCCUUGACUUUGGGAUAACUUCAGGAAACUGGGGCUAAUACCGGAUAGGAGCUCCUGCUGCAUGGUGGGGGUUGGAAAGUUUCGGCGGUUGGGGAUGGACUCGCGGCUUAUCAGCUUGUUGGUGGGGUAGUGGCUUACCAAGGCUUUGACGGGUAGCCGGCCUGAGAGGGUGACCGGCCACAUUGGGACUGAGAUACGGCCCAGACUCCUACGGGAGGCAGCAGUGGGGAAUAUUGCACAAUGGGCGGAAGCCUGAUGCAGCAACGCCGCGUGCGGGAUGACGGCCUUCGGGUUGUAAGCCGCUUUCGCCUGUGACGAAGCGUGAGUGACGGUAAUGGGUAAAGAAGCACCGGCUAACUACGUG